Drosophila sulfurigaster albostrigata is the source of this 326-nucleotide long non-coding RNA. RefSeq lists it as uncharacterized. NCBI's taxonomy places the organism in Eukaryota, Metazoa, Arthropoda, Insecta, Diptera, Drosophilidae. The transcript has 3 exons. The record is from RefSeq and is a predicted model, not a curated record.
GAGGAGGUUGAAAAGUGUGAGGAGGUUGAAAAGUGCGAGGAGGUCGAAAUGUCAGAGAAGGUAAAAAAGUCCGAAGGGGGUGUAAAGUAUGAAGAGGUUGAAAAAUCCUAAGACGUGAAAUCCGAAAAGGUCCAAAAGUAAUAGGAGGUCGAAAAGUUACAGGAAGUUGAAAAGUCCGAAGAGGUCGAAAAGUGCGAGGAAUGACGAAGAGUCCGAAGAGGGAGAAAAGUCCGCAAGUAUGUUCGAGGAACUCGAAAAAUCCAAGCAGGCCGCAAAACAGAAAAGUACUCAAAAUCUUUUGGACAAAUAUUAAUAGGGUUUCAUUU